CACGUGGUUUAAUUCGAUGCAAACCGAAGAACCUUACUGGGUUGACAUGUGCGUGUUACUGAGGUGAAAGCCGAGGGACCAUAUCUUCGGAUGUGGAGCGUACACAGGUGCUGCAUGGCUGUCGUCAGCUCGUGUCGUGAGAUGUUGGUUAAGUCCCGCAACGAGCGCAACCCCUGCAUUCAGUUGCCAACGGUAAGGCCGGGCACUCUGGAUGGACUGCCGGCGACAAGCCGGAGGAAGGUGGGAUGACGUCAAGUCAUCAUGGCCCUUAUGUCCAGGGCGACACACGUGCUACAAUGGCCGGCACAGCGGGAAGCGAGGGGGCGACCUUGAGCGGAUCCCUCAAAGCCGGUCUCAGUUCGGAUUGCAGUCUGCAACUCGACUGCAUGAAGUUGGAAUCGCUAGUAAUCGUGGAUCAGCCAAGCCGCGGUGAAUACGUUCCCGGGCCUU
RNAcentral lists this ribosomal RNA (450 nucleotides) under uncultured Thermovirga sp. RNAcentral describes it as "bacterial SSU rRNA". It matches the Rfam family "Bacterial small subunit ribosomal RNA", at positions 938 to 1382 of the family's 1533-position model. Lineage: Bacteria; Thermotogati; Synergistota; Synergistia; Synergistales; Thermovirgaceae. The record is from RNAcentral.